GUGAGGAAUUUUCCGCAAUGGGCGAAAGCCUGACGGAGCAAUGCCGCGUGAAGGAUGAAGGCCUAUGGGUUGUAAACUUCUUUUCUCAGAAAAGAAUUAUGACGGUAUCUGAGGAAUAAGCAUCGGCUAACUCUGUGCCAGCAGCCGCGGUAAGACAGAGGAUGCAAGCGUUAUCCGGAAUGAUUGGGCGUAAAGCGUCUGUAGGUUGUUUAAAAAGUAUUCUGUUAAAGAUUAGGGCUUAACCCUAGAUAGGCAGAAUAAACUUUUAAGCUAGAGUUUGGUAGAGGCAGAGGGAAUUCCCGGUGGAGCGGUGAAAUGCGUAGAUAUCGGGAGGAACACCAAAGGCGAAUGCACUCUGCUGGGCCAAUACUAACACUGAGAGACGAAAGCGAGGGGAGCAAAUGGGAUUAGAAACCCCAGUAGUCC
RNAcentral lists this ribosomal RNA (426 nucleotides) under uncultured bacterium. RNAcentral describes it as "bacterial SSU rRNA". It matches the Rfam family "Bacterial small subunit ribosomal RNA", at positions 354 to 796 of the family's 1533-position model. The record is from RNAcentral.